GAGCCAUCAUCUUCCCAAACACUGGGGUGCGUUUAACAUUCGGGUUCUGGAGCUUUAUCCCACGCCCCCUCAAACAAGACCCUGGACCUUGUUCUCUCAAACCCCGUUUCCUAUGCCACGGAUGGGACUGCCUCACCUGAGGUGCACCUCGUGGGAAGGCAGUAAAGAAGGGACCUUUUCUGAUGGGUGCCUUGUUCAGCCGCCAUCAGAGAUGCUUCCAUGCUGCAGCAGAUGGGACAAGUGUAGGCCAGCAGGCUGGUACUACAGAGAGAUGGAGAGACCCUGAAGCACACAGCCCUACAUGGGAUGCCCCCGUCAAAUCUUUCUCUUAACCCCAUGCUUAUACCUGCAACAUCGGUUCAAUAUCUUUAUUAAGCCACAAUUAUACUUGUAAAACAAACAAACAAACAAACAAAAAAAGGUUUGUCAUCCAAAAAGGAAAUCUACCCAUCCCGCGACCUUAUGACUAGCUUCACCCCGUUUAUUUCUCACCCCGCCAAUGUUUACCCUUUACCAAAGGUCCUAGAUUUGAUGGUUAAAUUUGUGUGUCAACUUGACUGGGCGAGAGUGCCCAGAGAUCCAGCUAAAUGUUUUUAGCACUUGUCUCUAAGGGCGUUUCUGGAUAACUUUAACAUCUGAAUUGUAGGUUGAGUAUGGCAUUACUUUCCCUGUGUUGGGACCCAUCCAUUCUGAAGAGGACAGACAGGGAGGAGUCUGUCUCUGCUCGGCUGUUUUCUGAAGAGGACAGACAGGGAGGAGUCCGUCUCUGCUCGGCUGUUUUCUGAAGAGGACAGACAGGGAGGAGUCCGUCUCUGCUCGGCUGUUUUCUGGAGAGGACAGACAGGGAGGAGUCCGUCUCUGCUCAGCUGUUUUCUUACUUUCUGCCUCUUGCCCCCAGACUGGGGCUGAGACGAGAAUUCGUGCUGCAGGAAUCUUUCUGGAAUAGCACCCCAACAUCGAUGAAACUAGAAGAGAGGAAAUGUAUUCGCCAUGCCAUAGAUCCAAGUCAAGAUAGUUCCUGAAAGCCCUUGGUCCUCGCUCAGUUUCCGUUCUUGUGUUAUACUCUCAAACCACAAGGUGGGGUGAACAAGCAAGUGAGAUUUUUACGGAUGCACACCUGGCAGUCAGCCUUCUGUUUUUGAAGGCAUAUAUUAUAGUGUUUGUGGUCAGGUUGCUAAGGGCAACAGCCCAUGGUUUCAGCUGUUUCUCCAGGUCUUUUUGUUCCAGGUAGCAGGUGAAUUCAUGCUUGGAAAUGCACACUACAGCAGCACUUAAAGUAAGUCACGAAAUCACUAGCUAAUAAUUUUUUUUUUCGACAUUAUUCUACUUCACCUGUUCCUGGAUCUCCAAGUUUUAGAACUUGAGGCUGAGUGAAGUAAUCCCCAAAAUAUAAUGUCUAUCAACUCAUCUUCCCCCUCUGCCCCUCCCUCCCUCCCUCCCUUCCUCCGUCCCUCCCUCCCUCUCUCCCUUCUAUCCAUCCAUCUAUUAUCUGUUUUUCCAGUCUCCUCUUGGUUCUGAUACUCAGGAGCACUCACAAGCGAUACAGUUGCCAGUGACUUUAUUUUGCUCAAUGUCUCCAUCUGAUGCUUGAAACACUUGACUGGCACAAUGCAUUUGGCUCUGCAGGCCUGUGAUGUUUAGACUUAGUUGUCAAUGUAACUGUAUCUGAGGUCAACUAAAAGGCAAGACCUUGGGCACUCCCGAGAGGGAAUUUUGUGGAUCAGAUGAUUUGAAGUGAGAAGAACCUACCCUACGUCUUGGUGCCAUUUUCCAGUGGCAGCCUAGAUAGAAGAUGACAGAGGAAGCUUUGCCUUCAUUCUCACCGGCAGGUUCACAUGCUUUGUUCUGUGUAACUUUGUUGACAUUAGGGCCCAGAUUCUAUGGGUUUCCAACACGGACUGAGGACCAGUGGCCCUCCACGCACCCUCUAUUCUUUUCAGUACUAUGCUGGAAUUGCUGGGGCACCCUGCCUUGUGGGUUGAGAAGUUACCAGGUUCUUGUCUUCUCUAGUGUGAGAUCUCCAUCGUUGGACUAUAUCCAAACCACGCAGUGAUGUCCUGCUUCUUAUUCCUUUGAACACAACAAAAAAGAAAAAUAAAAGAGUGUGUCUACAUUUAUUUAAGCGUUAUUGUCAAGAGUACUCCUGGCAAAGAAAUGCUGGCUAAGAGUUGAAGAAACGUGAACCAUGUAGAACAGAAGAUUCCCCGAGACUGUAAAAUCAGAUGACUGACAGGCCUGGGUGCUUCGGAAGCCCUUUUCACACCCGAGGUCCAUGAAUGAUGUAAUCGCAUCCUCUGAACAUACGUGAAAUGGAUUCUUGUCUGACCUUACCAUCUGGCUCUCGGAGUCUGCGGCCUCUGGAUGUGAGCAGUGGAAUGGGUGAGCAGAGACGUUCAGGGGCACAUUGUGUAGUUCCUCUCCCAUACUCAUAACCUCAUGAGCGUGGAUUGUGAGAGAACAGUGAGGUUAGGGAGGAAGGGGUUGGGUGUCAUAGUUUUGAUAUGCAUACUUUAUUCAAUUGUGAGUUUAUGUGAUUCAUUUUUAAAGUUACAGUUUUUAGCAUCAGUGUUACCAAAUGCUUGAAAACUUGUUCUUGAAAGCCUGGAUAAGCUGUCCCUGAUCUGCUGUGGAUUAUAGCGCACCAGUUGCGUGAACUGGCCUUGUCCAUCUAACCUCAGGUCCAGGCACAAAUUGCUUAAGUAUAGUCCUGAAUGUAUAAUCCUGAGACGCGUCCCAUUUAAUUCUAAUCUAGAUGUUUACACGGGUGUCCUUUCUACUUGAAACCCCCUUUGCUCCCAAAUCUGUGACUCCGUAACCUUCUCCUGACUCAGUUCUCAGCUCAAAGUCUCUACGUUCAAUAAGUUGCCUCUUGUUUUAACAAGUGCCCCUCAAAACCUUUUAUUUUUUUAAAAAAGAAAACAAACUUUUUUUUUUCCAUUUUACAUACUAAUCCCAAUUCCUAAUCCCUCCCCUCCUUCACUUUAUCCCUCACCCCUCCAUCCACUCCACAGAGAGGCCAAGGCACAUUGCUCCGAGAAAGAACCAAGACCCUCCCUGUUAUGUCCAGGCUGAGCGUGGUAUCCAUCCAAAGAGAAUGGAUUCCAAAAAAGCCAGUACAAGCAGCAGGGACAAAUCCUUGUGCCACUGUCAGUGGCUCCGCAGUCUGCCCCAGCCAUAUAACUGUUACCCACACUCAGAGUCUAGCUUGGCCCUGUGCUGGUUUCUUCC
This is a long non-coding RNA of Microtus ochrogaster (prairie vole), 3228 nucleotides long. RefSeq lists it as uncharacterized. Lineage: Eukaryota; Metazoa; Chordata; Mammalia; Rodentia; Cricetidae. The record is from RefSeq and is a predicted model, not a curated record. The transcript is spliced from 3 exons.